UGACCUCAAAUCAGGUAGGACUACCC
RNAcentral lists this ribosomal RNA (26 nucleotides) under Candida albicans. Its description in RNAcentral is "partial 28S ribosomal RNA". Lineage: Eukaryota; Fungi; Ascomycota; Pichiomycetes; Serinales; Debaryomycetaceae. RNAcentral also lists the same sequence under 6 other names. The record is from RNAcentral.